UUAACGGAGAGUUUGAUCCUGGCUCAGGACGAACGCUGGCGGCGUGCCUAAUACAUGCAAGUCGAGCGGAGUUUCAAGAAGCUUGCUUUUUGAAACUUAGCGGCGGACGGGUGAGUAACACGUGGGCAACCUGCCCCUUAGACUGGGAUAACUCCGGGAAACCGGAGCUAAUACCGGAUAAUCCCUUUCUCCACCUGGAGAGAGGGUGAAAGAUGGCUUCGGCUAUCACUAGGGGAUGGGCCCGCGGCGCAUUAGCUAGUUGGUAAGGUAACGGCUUACCAAGGCGACGAUGCGUAGCCGACCUGAGAGGGUGAUC
Molecule: ribosomal RNA, 316 nt
Filed under: Shouchella clausii
Lineage: Bacteria; Bacillati; Bacillota; Bacilli; Caryophanales; Bacillaceae
Description: bacterial SSU rRNA
Rfam family: Bacterial small subunit ribosomal RNA
Source: RNAcentral